GGGCUGAGUGUGUAGGUAUGUAAAGGACAGAGCACCAGGUCCAGUGCAUCAUGUGAGGAUUUGGUUGGGGUUCUCUGGAGUUGUUGUUCGUCUGCUUCACAAAGAGUGCCAAGCGUGAGUUCCUGCAAACAACUUCUACUCACCAUACGUCUAGAUUUGGGGUUCAAAGGUCUUUCCUCUUUUCCUCUUGUAGGAUGCUUUAUAGUCUCUGUGGAGCAGUGAUGAAAAUGGGAAGGGAAAUUCAGGGACCAUGGCGUCCCAUUCCUACUACCAAUGGACUGCGCACUUCUCUGAGGCCUCAAGGCGAACUACAGGGAAACCACGCUGGUCAUAGAGUUACCAUGGGCCUACUAUGUGCACCGAUGCUCACGUGCUUGACUUCCACACAAACUGUCUUCAUGAAGAAAGAGUUCUGGAAAGUUUCUCCGUUGCCUAUGAAACUACACAAAAAUGGGGAAAAAUGAAGGUGGGGGAUGAAAUGUAACUCAGAUCCGAAACCAGAUGAAAGAUAUUUGGGUCUUUGUAGUAAAAAUGAGUGUUUUUGUACUAGGAUAUUUUACUGUAUUAGUAACAGGUGGGGCAGAGUAAAACUUAAACCUUCGUAUGCAUUUUCCCAAUAUAAAUAAUCUUAUACUUUUGAAAACAUUCAUACAAUUUCUUUUAUUUUCAGUAAGUUGAAGAGAACAGCCAGCUAAAAAGCUGGCGGCUUUCCCACUGGCUCCUGGAUCAUCUUUUCCUUCUUCCUUUAUAGACACUAAUGAUACUUUAAAAUAUAUUUAGAAGUGUGCUUGAUCAAGUAACUUCUCCAUCUGAGGCUGGCAAAGCACUAUACUUUCUCAUUGAUUUCUAUUGGCAAAACCAUAGUUGGAAAUUAGGAAAAUAAGCCACAGGUAUUUUUGAAUGUAUUUCUCUCUAGAAUAAUUCUUUGCUUCCCCCAAAUGUUCAGAAGUUGAGAAUGUGUCAUGGCUUUUUAGGACUCCAUAAUGUGACUUUCUCGUUGCCUUGGAUUUUCCCUUAUCUCAGUAAGUGGUUAGCCCAUCAAAAAUAAAUCCUAAGGUAUAGCUUGCUCAGAUUACCUUUUUUACAGAAAAUGUGAUCUUUUAUCUUCCAUUUCUAAAGUAGAACUUUGAACAGUGACUCUACUAAGAAAGGCAACCCUGUGGGUCCUAGGUUUUGACUGAUAUUACUAAAGGCUAAAUCCCUUUCUCCCUACACAGCAGACAUCCUGACCAGUAACUCUCAAGCUCCUAGUGUACUUAUUCUCAACACAAAGGCAUUGACUCAAGAGAGCCACAAAUGCCAGUUCCCCUCAAAACUGAAUUGACAGUUUUAUCAAUAGUUCUAGAAAGCCUUUAUUAUAGCUGAAAUGAAAACAUUAAAAGAACUUUUAAAAACUUGAUUCCUUGACUAAAUUUUUAUCAAAAAUUUCCACUUAAAUUUCAAGAACUUAUGGUCAUUUGGGAGAUUAAAAACUAGUAUGAAUCUUUAAAGUUCAACUAAUUGUCCAACUGGUACAAGCUCAUGUGUCUGAGAAGUGGGGCAGAUCCCUGGUAGCAACAAGAAUGAGAUACAAACAUGGCCUUAGAGGAAACAAGAGUAAAAGGUUCAGUCAGGCUGAUGGUCACCUCCCUCCACCGCAACUUCCCCAGUCCUACUACUUGCCAUUGGCCAUGAGAAUGUGUACAUAGGACUUGCAUAGGAUGGGCGUGGCCUAUGCAUGGAAUGUCAAAGCUAUUAAAAGCUGAGGGUAGGCCAGGCACGGUGGCUCAUGUCUGUAAUCCCAGCACUUUGGGAGGCUGAGAUGGGCAGAUCACUUGAGGUCAGGAGUUCAAGACCAACCUGGUCAACAUGGUGAAACCCCAUCUUUACUAAAAAUACAAAAAUUAGCUGGGCGUGUUGGUGUGCACCUGUAAUCCCAGCUACACGGGAGGCUGAGGCAUGAGAAUCACUUGAACCCGGGAGGUGGUGGUUGCAGUAAGCCAAGAUCACACCACUGCACUCCAGUCUGGGUGACAGAGCAAGACUCCAUCCCCCCGCCAUCUCCAAAAAAAAAGAAAAAAGAAAAAAAA
Long non-coding RNA from Macaca fascicularis (crab-eating macaque), 2069 nucleotides. NCBI's taxonomy places the organism in Eukaryota, Metazoa, Chordata, Mammalia, Primates, Cercopithecidae. The record is from Ensembl.